RNAcentral lists this unclassified non-coding RNA (727 nucleotides) under Hevea brasiliensis (rubber tree). Lineage: Eukaryota; Viridiplantae; Streptophyta; Magnoliopsida; Malpighiales; Euphorbiaceae. The record is from RNAcentral.
UUUUAUUAUAUUACAGCACUUGAAAAAUGCAAAUUACAGAAUUCAGCUCCAUUUUAACAAUCAUUUGGUGGAAGUAAUCCAUGGAACAAACCGUAAUCAAAGAAAGACCUUAAAGGACACUCUCUGCUACUAUUAGCAUUAGGUUCAAAGAGAAAUUUAAGAAAAACCAUGCACUCGUGUGAGCUAACCUGCGAUAAUGGCUAAUCUUAACAGGUUUUCGUUUUCAGAAAUACUGAAACUCAAAUUACUUAAAGACACAAUCUGCGCGUGUACAAAGCAAACAAGCAGACCAGAGCACAAUUUUUUGCAGGUCACUCACUUCCACUGCGUCAGCAAGCCACAAAAAACAAACAGAACAUCAGCUAAUUGCAGGUGAUCGGAGAAAUUUUCCGUUUGUUUGCCGAGAAAAUUCACCAAGAAAAGAAGUAAAGUUGUAAUUCAUUUUCUCGGCUGCGGAUGAGUGAGGGAAAAUAAAAAUAAAAUCAGAAGUAAAGGAGUGUUUAGCUACCUAUAAGUAUCCUUCAACUUCGUUGGAUUCCAUUAUUCGACGACAUCUCUGACUCCGUGCAGAUUUGUAUAAAAAGAGAGAAAGAAGAAUGGUCAAAUAUUUUGCUUUUCCUUACUCCUAAGAGAGUCUAAACUCAACCCCUAACGUGUGACACCAGACAGAGCCCUCCUUAUAUAGUGCCUUCGACGCCGGUAACCGGACACUUAUCUUUCAUUUUCC